This 253-nucleotide ribosomal RNA is filed under the name uncultured bacterium. RNAcentral describes it as "partial 16S ribosomal RNA". It matches the Rfam family "Bacterial small subunit ribosomal RNA", at positions 524 to 776 of the family's 1533-position model. The record is from RNAcentral.
GACGAACCGAGCGAACGUUAUUCGGAAUCACUGGGCGUAAAGGGCGCGUAGGCGGCUCAUACAGUCAGGCGUGAAAUUCCUGGGCUCAACCUGGGGACUGCGCUUGAGACGUGUGGGCUUGAGUGGGGAAGAGGGUCGUGGAAUUCCCAGUGUAGAGGUGAAAUUCGUAGAUAUUGGGAAGAACACCGGUGGCGAAGGCGGCGACCUGGUCCUUGACUGACGCUGAGGCGCGAAAGCGUGGGGAGCAAACAGG